GAUGAACGCUGGCGGCGUGCCUAAUACAUGCAAGUCGAGCGAACAGACGAGGAGCUUGCUCCUCUGACGUUAGCGGCGGACGGGUGAGUAACACGUGGAUAACCUACCUAUAAGACUGGGAUAAAUUCGGGAAACCGGAGCUAAUACCGGAUAACAUGUUGAACCGCAUGGUUCAACAGUGAAAGACGGUCUUGCUGUCACUUAUAGAUGGAUCCGCGCUGCAUUAGCUAGUUGGUAAGGUAACGGCUUACCAAGGCAACGAUGCGUAGCCGACCUGAGAGGGUGAUCGGCCACACUGGAACUGAGACACGGUCCAGACUCCUACGGGAGGCAGCAGUAGGGAAUCUUCCGCAAUGGGCGAAAUCCUGACGGAGCAACGCCGCGUGAGUGAAGAAGGUCUUCGGAUCGUAAAACUCUGUUAUUAGGGAAGAACAAAUGUGUAAGUAACUAUGCACGUCUUGACGGUACCUAAUCAGAAAGCCACGGCUAACUACGUG
This 497-nucleotide ribosomal RNA is filed under the name uncultured bacterium. RNAcentral describes it as "partial 16S ribosomal RNA". It matches the Rfam family "Bacterial small subunit ribosomal RNA", at positions 28 to 507 of the family's 1533-position model. The record is from RNAcentral.